ACUGGCCAGGGAGCCGCUACGCAGAUGUUUUCGCCUCUGCGGGUGUAGGCUCCGGGUCGGGCUUCCGGGUCCCUUUCCUGGCUCUGGCGCCUUCCAGCUGUGUGACCGGGCGAGGCCCUGAGCCUCUUGAGGGUUCAGUGCCCUCCUCCGUACAAUGGGCCAACAACAGCCCCUUCCCUGGGGAUCUCGGUGAGGGUUGGUUGCUCUGCAGGGUGCCCUGGGCCUGUGCCAGCGCGCUCAGGCAUCCUGGUGACCAACCACAGCUGGCACUGGUGAACGCAGCCUCUUAGCCCAGGCAGGCUCUGGUCAGCCUCACCUGCUGGGACCGCUGAGUGGUCCAAGAGCUGGCUUGGCUGACUGGGACCUGGGCCUCAGCUUCCCCAUCUGUGCAGGGGGCCGCUGGUGAUACCGGUCCCUGCCAUGCCCUGGUGGAGAUAUGGCCCAGUGAGACUUCGUGAGGGGUCUAGGCCACUGCUGUCACGUGGUCCUCCUGCUCCACCACAGGCCAUCUCCCUGGGCCUCAUCCAGACAGCUGGACACUGAGCACAGCUCUGUUGUCCUCUUCCCUGGGCUGAGUGGACUCAGAGGUGCUGGGGACUGCAUGGCCGCCGGACGAGGCGGGGGCUUUCCAACCCAACACCACCGAGCCUGCCUCUUCCUGCCCUGGAUGCUAUGUCUUCCAUAGAGCCGCUUUUCCAACACAGCAGGUAUGAAGUAUCCACCGGCCAUCUGAAAAUAAUGCAGUAACUAAGAAAAACAGUGGCGAGAGGAAGGAGUGUCGAUGCCCCAAAUGGAUCAUCUUCCAGAGCACGUCUACACCGAGAUCAAGAAUGAAAAGGUGGGAGCAGAUUUAAGGCUCUUGGGCAGCUCUGCGGCCUGCUGUGUUGAGUGUCCUGGUGAGCAAAUCUCUCAGGUCUGGGUGGUCAGGCUGGCUGUGGCGGCGGCCAAGGCAAGACAGAUGGGUAUUGUUGGGCCCUCCUGGACACACUGCAGCCUUGGGACACAGGCAGGUGCUGGCUACAGUCAAGUGGCCUCUUGUCCUUGCUGCGUCUGACCCCCCAUCCAGCCUGUGAGCCCUACCUUCCUCUUGGGGCUAAGCAGCUGGAGGCUAGGCUUCCCUCUCAGGGCCUCAGACAGUGCAAGCCAGAGGCGUGGGCAGCUGACCAGGCUAGGAGCACUCCUGGGCCACCUGGGCUCCCAGCAGGGUGGGGGGCUUGUGCCUCUGCCCACGCUGCAGCCACGUGGGCUCCUCUCCUAUUCGCUGGGAGCUGGAGCAAAGCAUCAGGCUCUGUGCCCUGCAAGCCCAGAAAUGCCUGUGGGCACUGGGGCCUGCCUGCUGGCGGAGGCUGAGCUGACUCCAGGAGCCCUGGGGGUGGGUCCCGAGCUCCGUGUGGAGGUGCACAGGCUUGACGGCCACGUGAGAACCCAGAUGCUGCGGUGCUUGCUGGGAAACUCCGGGAAAGGCUCUACAUGGCCUUUGUCUGACUUGUCUGGGUAAUUAGGGAAAACGUCUUCCGGUGGGUUUUUGUUUCCCUGAAGUUUCUGGUGAUUGAGCUCCUGGGAAGUGAGGCUGGUUUUUGCUUGGCUACCUCAGGGCCUCAGCAAAGCCUGGAGGGGCUUGGCGGCUGGUGGAAAGGGGCCUUUUAAGCCGCUUCCUCUGGGA
This 1663-nucleotide long non-coding RNA is filed under the name Homo sapiens (human). RNAcentral's name for it is "non-protein coding lnc-TCFL5-2:9". Lineage: Eukaryota; Metazoa; Chordata; Mammalia; Primates; Hominidae. The record is from RNAcentral.